RNAcentral lists this non-coding RNA (823 nucleotides) under Caenorhabditis japonica. Its description in RNAcentral is "Eukaryotic large subunit ribosomal RNA". It matches the Rfam family "Eukaryotic large subunit ribosomal RNA", at positions 1 to 783 of the family's 3401-position model. The record is from Rfam by way of RNAcentral. Lineage: Eukaryota; Metazoa; Nematoda; Chromadorea; Rhabditida; Rhabditidae.
CAACCUGAACUCAGUCGUGAUUACCCGCUGAACUUAAGCAUAUCAUUUAGCGGAGGAAAAGAAACUAAAAAGGAUUCCCCUAGUAACGGCGAGUGAAACGGGAAGAGCCCAGCGCCGAAUCGAUCAGUCUUUGGCUGCUUCGAAAUGUGGCGUAUAGGUGUAGUCUUCCAGCAGUGUCGUAUGUCCGAAGUCCUUGCGAUUGAGGCCAUAAACCAGAGAGGGUGCGAGCCCCGUUCUGGAUAGCGGCGCUGUUGGUUCGACUGCUCCUUGGAGUCGGGUUGCUUGAAAGUGCACCCUAAAGUGGGUGAUAAACUUCAUCUAAGGCUAAAUAUUGACUCGAUUGCGAUAGCGAACAAGUACCGUGAGGGAAAGUUGCAAAGGACUUUGAAGAGAGAGUUCAAGAGAACGUGAAAUCGCUGGAGUGGAACCGGAGACAGUUGAUGUUGCUUGGAGACAAUCUUGGUGGCUGAUCGCUUAGCUGUGAUCGCCGCCGGGAGUCGUUUCCUAUGCUACGCCGACGGCGUUGGCCGCUCGUUCUGGCCCGACAGUGUUGCCCAUCUCGCAAGAGACGGUGUCUUGUUGUCGGUCGUUGGUUCGUGGUGGCUAGCGUUUAGUUACGCUAGUGUGUGUGACGUCGGUGUGAAAGUCGACGACGUUUCCGACCCGUCUUGAAACACGGAUUACGGAGUGUUUGUCUGCUGCGAGUCAAAGGGUGUAAAAACCUUGCGGCGCAAUGAAAGUGAAGGUUAGUCUCGAACUGACCGACGUGGGAUCCGUGCUCUUCGGAGUGCGGCGCACCACGGCCCUAUGCGUGUCACUUGUG